CCUCCAUUCUUGGCAUGCUUGUGGUUGUUUUGUACUCUUGUUUGUAUGUAUGGAGGAAUAUUAGUUCCAGUGUAAUGUCUUCGGUGCCAGUAUGUUCCCGUCAACUGGUUCUAUCCUCAAUCACUGGGACACAU
Molecule: small nucleolar RNA, 134 nt
Organism: Triplophysa rosa
Lineage: Eukaryota; Metazoa; Chordata; Actinopteri; Cypriniformes; Nemacheilidae
Product: small nucleolar RNA SNORA57
Exons: 1
Source: RefSeq, a predicted model, not a curated record